CGAAACCAGGUGAUCUACCCAUGUCCAGGAUGAAGGUAAGGUAAUACUUACUGGAGGUCCGAACCCACGCACGUUGAAAAGUGCGGGGAUGAGGUGUGGGUAGCGGAGAAAUUCCAAUCGAACUUGGAGAUAGCUGGUUCUCUCCGAAAUAGCUUUAGGGCUAGCCUCGAGGUAAAGAGUCAUGGAGGUAGAGCACUGUUUGGACUAGGGGCCCUUCUCGGGUUACCGAAUUCAGAUAAACUCCGAAUGCCAUGUACUUAUACUCGGGAGUCAGACUGCGAGUGAUAAGAUCCGUAGUCGAAAGGGAAACAGCCCAGACCACCAGUUAAGGUCCCCAAAUAUAUGUUAAGUGGAAAAGGAUGUGGGGUUGCUUAGACAACCAGGAUGUUGGCUUAGAAGCAGCCACCAUUGAAAGAGUGCGUAAUAGCUCACUGGUCGAGUGACCCCGCGCCGAAAAUGUACCGGGGCUAAACAUAUUACCGAAACUGUGGAUGAACCUCUUUAGAGGUUCGUGGUAGGAGAGCGUUCUAAGGGCGGUGAAGUCAGACCGGAAGGACUGGUGGAGCGCUUAGAAGUGAGAAUGCCGGUAUGAGUAGCGAAAGAAGGGUGAGAAUCCCUUCCACCGAAUAUCUAAGGUUUCCUGAGGAAGGCUCGUCCGCUCAGGGUUAGUCGGGACCUAAGCCGAGGCCGAUAGGCGUAGGCGAUGGACAACAGGUAGAGAUUCCUGUACCAGUGCUAAUUGUUUAACCGAUGGGGUGACACAGAAGGAUAGGGAAUCGCACGAAUGGAAAUGUGCGUCCAAGCA
Molecule: ribosomal RNA, 805 nt
Filed under: Listeria innocua
Lineage: Bacteria; Bacillati; Bacillota; Bacilli; Caryophanales; Listeriaceae
Description: partial 23S ribosomal RNA
Rfam family: Bacterial large subunit ribosomal RNA
Source: RNAcentral